RNAcentral lists this long non-coding RNA (8553 nucleotides) under Sus scrofa (pig). RNAcentral's name for it is "lncRNA (ENSSSCG00005000110.1)". The record is from RNAcentral. Lineage: Eukaryota; Metazoa; Chordata; Mammalia; Artiodactyla; Suidae.
GGAAAAAAAUUUUGCUAAAAUAUAACCACUGGUUAUCUCUGGAAGGGAGGAGUUCAGAUAGUUUGUUUUUUGUUUUUGUUUUGUCAUUUUAGGGCCACACCCCUAACAUAUGAAGGUUCCUGGGCUAGGGGUUGAAUUGGAGCUGGAGCCACUAGCCUACACCACAGCCACAGCAACGAGGGAUCCAAGCCGCAUCUGUGACCUACACCACAGCUCAUGGCAAUGCUGGAUCCUUAACCCACUGAGCAAGGCCAGGGAUCGAACCUGCGUCCUCUUGGAUACUAGUCAGAUUCCUUUCCCCUGAGCCACGAGGGGAACUCCCUCAAGUAGUUCUUAAUUUUCUUUGUAUUUUUCUGUAUUUGCCAGAAUUUGAGGAAUGAACAGUUAUUAUUUUCUAAUAAGAAAAAGGAGUAAGAUUUUUAAAAAAGCUGACAUCACAAAAUAGUGUGGCCUGGAGUAAAGAAUGCUUGGAUUCAGAUACUGGCUCUACCAUUCUAGAGCCUUGUGACCUUGGGGCGGGGGCAGGGGGAGCUGCUUUACUUUUCGCAUAGGAUUCUUUUGAAGAUUAAAUUAGGUAUGACAUAUGUAGGCUAGUUUUUAUAAUGUCUGUAAUGCAUUUGGUGCUUAAUAAACAUUAAUUUCCUUCCUUCUUGUUUUUCUCAUUAAUGACUAUUAUAAUAAACUCUUCCAAACAGAUAGAAAAUACCAUAAAACUAAUAAGAAAAACACAAUUAAAUACUUAGACAGUUGAACACUUGUGGCGUGGUAGUUUCAGAACUAAUUCUGCUACAGGAUAGAAAGUGAGAAUAUUCAUUAGAGCAAAACAAAGAGGUGAGGUAUUUCACUUCUGUUGAUAGGAAGAGGCAGCUAUAAAUCCUCAGUGUUGUUAGUCAGCAAUAACAUUGUGUCCUAAGUAGAGCUUAAAACAUUCUCCACAGGUUCAAUCAGAAUAGUUUUUUGAAGCUGUGUUGUAGAUAAUUUGCUGCUUUUAAUUCAUCAUGGCUGUCAAUAUCAAGAAAUAAAAGUAGUCAGGACUUGAGAAUAAUAAAUCUCAUAUUAGUAAAUCAACAUGUAAAAUGAGAUGCCUUCAUUAAUUUCAGAGGUUAUAUUUCAGUGACAUAAGCUAGUUAGGCAAAAUAGGCACCGACAUAAAAUUCUCAAAGGAUUUAACAGUUGUAUUCUUCUUACAUGCUUGUUAGAUGUACAAUAGAAAACGUAUUUGCUUUCCCCUGUUUUGCCAAGGAAGUGGCACAGACUUAAAGAGGAAGAUUAAUUGAGAUGGGCCAGUGCAGUGGCAAAGUAGGAUCUCAUCCUAGAUACACUGGACUUCUGAAGCACCAACAUUGCUGUCUCUGGUAUUGCUGCAUCUGAUGUCUUCAUAAAAGGAAACAAUUUUUUUUUCUUCUUUUAUGGCUGCACUUGUGGCAUAUGGAUGUUCCUGAACUAGGGGUCAAUUUGGAGCUGCAGUUGCAGGCCUACGCCACAGCCACAGCAACACCAGAUCCCAGCUGCAUUUGCAACCUACUCUUGCAGCUUUUAACAAUGCCGGAUCCUUAACCCACUGAUCGAGGUGAGGGAUUAAAACCUCAUCCUCACGGGUAUUAUGUUGGUUUCUUAACCCACUCAGCCACAGCAGAAACCCCAAGAAAUAGUUUUUACAGACACUAAUUCAAAAAGAUAUAUGCACCCCCGUGUUCAUAACAGCGUUCUGUUUAAUAGCCGAGAUAUAGAAGCAACCCAAGUGUCCAUCAAUAGGUGAAUGGCGAGUUUCUGCUGUGGUGCAGUGGGUUAAGAGUCCAGCUGUAGUCACUUGGGUUGCUGUGGAGAUUCAGAUUCGACCCCUGGCCCGGCACAGUUGGUUAAAAAGAUCGGGCAUUGCUGCAGCUGUGGCAUGGGUCACAGCUAUGACUUGGAUUCAGUUCCUGGCCUAGGAACUUCCAUAUGCCGUGGGUGUGGCCAUAAAAAACAACAACAAAAAAACCCCCCAAAUGAAUGGACAAAGAGAAGCUGUACUGUAUGCAGUGGAUAUAUACAGCCUAUAUAUAUGCCAUGGAAUACUACCCAGCCAUAAAAAAGAAUGAAAUGAUGCUGUUUGCAACAACCGGGAUGGACCUAGAGAAUAUUACACUCAUGAUUUUUUUUGUCUCUCAAGAGCGUCUUUAACCUUGCAGUUGUUUGACUCAUUAUAGGUUACCUAGGGAAUUUUGUGCUAUAUUUAAUGAUUUUUAGAAUGAUUCUCUUGUUUGACUCUGUCCCACGCCCCCUUUUUUUUUCUUUUCAGGGCUGCACCCGUGGCAUAGGGGAGUUCCCAGGCUAGGGGUUUAACUGGAGCUGUAGCUGCCGACCUACGCCACAGCCACACCACCAGAUCUGAGCUGUGUCUGCAGCCUACACCACAGCUCACAGCAACGCUGGACCCUUAACCCACUGAGUGAGGCCAGGGAUCGAAUCUGCAACCUCAUGGAUAUUAGUCUGGUUUGUAACCCUCUGAGUCACAGUGGGAACUCCUGACUCUGUCCCUUAUCUUAAUAGAGUCCUAUUAAUUUCCUUACCUAACUCAGUGUACUGUCCUCCACAUCAUUUGUUGUCAGAGCUGCUAAGGAACUGACAGAGAAAGUGGACUCCAGACUCCAGGACAGCAGAAACCAUGUCAGCUUUAUCCAGUAUAGACUGUGUCUUGCACAGCAGCUGGUAUGCAGUAGGCACACAGUAAAGCAGUCCAUGAGGGUGUGUAUAAGCAUAGAUAGAGCAGAAGAGACCUUGGGGUCAUAGUUGACUAGAGCCUGAGUCAUCAGCAUAUUGCUGGGGGGAGUGAGGCACAAGAAGAGGAGAGGGAAGAUUCAGCCAGGUUUUUGGAGGUGUGUGGAGAAACGAGGAAUAGUAGUAUUUUUGAAGAUUUAUAAUCUAGGCACUGUGCUAUCGGGUUUAUAUUUUGCAUCUUAUUUAAUCUGUUGAGUAUUGUGGACCAAAAAAUGUUGCCUGCCAUUCCAGUAAACAGUGAAUGUUGCCUCCAUAAGCCUCUGCAGCCUCCCUGAUGAUGUGCUCCAAGGGCAAUUCCAGAUGGAGAAAAACAGAAUUAAGAAAUUAUUUCUAUGAGCCCAGACUCUGGCACCUUCCAUUACAAAGAAAAGCACUAAAAUCAUCAACUUUUGAGACGUCUGUUUUUGUGUGAUUAGCAGUAAUCUUUUCUUUUUUUUCUUUCUUUUUUUUUUUUUUUUUUUUUUGGCUGCCCCUUGGCAUAUGGAGUUUCCAAGCUGUAGUUGCAGCCGAUGCCGCAGGUGCGGCAAUGCCGGAUCCUUAACCCACUGUGCUGGGCCAGGGAUUGAACCUGUGUGCCAGUGCUCCCAAGGUGCAGCCGAUCCUGUCGUGUCAUGGUGGGAACUCCAGUAGUAAUCCUUGGAUGUUUCACUACAUGGUUUUUAUUGUCCCAGCCAAAACUAUAUACCUGGCUCUUCUCUUACCUCUUGUGAGCAGUUUCUCAGAGCUAUAUGAGAGGCUGUCUGUUGAUCAGGUUAUGGUCCUCAGUAAGGUCCCUGAAUAAAACAACCUGCAACUUUUAGGUCGUGUGUUUUUCUUUGGUUGACGGUGCAAACAACAGCAGCCCAACAAAAGAAAUGAUGGAAAGGCAGGAAAAUGUUUUGAUUGGCCUACAUAAGAGGAUGCUAGCAAUGACUUCAUGUAUGGCACUACUUAGAAAGUUGGUUUGUACAGGAGUUGUUGAGGUGUUGGUGGAACAUGGUAGAAUCAUUUUCAGUUAGAUUUUGGUUAGGGGUAAAUUUAAAAAUUGCAAAUAAUACUAUAAUCAAAAUAAUGACAGCUGAGACAGAAGUAAAAACAUGUUGGAUCUCAUCCUAAGAAGUCAUUUGUCUUGUAAAAUAACUGUCAGGUGGAUACUGUGGAAUGUUAGGCUUACACAGACUCUAGAAAGAAGAAUGUCUAGAGGUAAAUUUAAAAAAUUGAUGGUUAGAUAAGCUGCCUGAGAUAAGCUUUCAGAGUUUUCUUUCAGUUGGAUUCUGUGACUUGAUCAUAUUGGAAGUAAAUAAUUUUGAGGGAAGAUGUCUAAUUUUUUUUUCAUUUGCCUUUUAUUAAAUUUAGGGAUAAUUUAAAGUGAAGAUAGAAUAAGUGAUUAAAAAGAAAAUUUCCAUUGUCAAUUUAAUUUGAGGGAGCUGUAGAGGAACCAGUCCUUUGCAUUCCCCUCCCACAAAUACUUCGAGUUUUCUGCUAAGUUAUUAGUAGGUACUAAUUUGAAAACUUGUGAGUCUUUCCCUGUUAUGUUGCUGCAGCAGCUUUUAUCUUUCAGAAAGCCUUUUUACUAAAAUGCAAAGGCUGUGCUUAUAUUACAAACUUCGCAGUGUUUUCGUGUGUUAAAAAUGACCUUCACAAGAUGGAUGGAAACUUGCUGAUCAUACCUUUUAUUUAUUGUAAAAGAAAGUCUUUUUCUUCCUUUAAUGUACAAUUGGAAGAUGAAAUGAAUUGAUUUUUUUAAAGAUAAACUUCUUUGAAGGCAUGUUAAUAAAAUUUGGUGCAUCUUUCUUCUGGAGGAAAUAUUGUCAAAAUAGUUGUAUUUUACUCCUCUUUUGAUGUCUGUUGUUUAUGAGGUCGCUUUAAAAUCCUUGAGCAAAUCUUACAGGUUACUUUGAAGUCUUGAAUGCUUGAGAAGAUAAACCAAUGAAUGAACUUAAUCAGUUAAAAAUCUUACUGCUGGCAGCUUGCCUCAUAUCCAGCUUUGAAUGAUGAAUGGAAUUAGGUCUGCACAUCGUUUACGUUGUUAGUGUACAAACACCCUUGGUCUUUAACCAUGGGUUGUUUACGUGGGAGUGUGAUAAUUUUCUACUCACUUCAGAGGAUUGUGGAAAAAGUACUUUAUUGCUAUUUUUAAUCUUUUUAAUAUACAUAAACCAUUUGCUGAAUGCAAAACACCGCUGGGCCCAUAGGGAAUGAUUGGUACGUAGCAUAUCAGUGUGUUUACAGUAGAGUGUGGAAGGUGGACCUGAUUGAGGAAAAAAAGAGGGGCACUGCCAGGGGGAAAUGCUUCCUUUGAGCUGAAAAUAAAGGCAGUCACCAAGUUUCAAACUGAAGCAUUGCUGUUAUGAUGUGACUCUUCUCUUAAAAGACCCAUUUUAGUAGCAUUGUCAGUGGUAGACAUGAACCUGAGAGGAGAACAGGCUGAAGGAUGAGAUUCUUUAAAUCCCAUCCCGUGUUAUGAUUGAUCACUCUGAGCAUUAGUUUGAAAUGCUUACAGAGACAGAGGGUUGAUUUAGAAAUUACUAGAAUGGCUCAGACCAAGAGUUUAAUCUCAGUAUUUGAUUGCCACUAGUGACCUACAUUUAAAAAUAGUUCUGCUGUUAUGGGACAGUGUGAUUUUCAUCUCCAGUAGUUCCUUAAAGGUUAAGUUUUGCCCUGUUUCUUUGAGCAGUGAUUUGUAGUUUUGUCUCAUUUUUUUUUUUCCCAGUACCUUUUGGGUUUAUUUUAUACCUCUGUUUAUUGCAUUUUGAGGCAUUGGUUUUUAUAAUUUUAUUUCAUACUAUAGAAAGUAGAACUUAUGCCUUUUUCUUAUUUAUCUUAUUCAUCAUCAAAGGAUCCUACCAGUUUGAUGGUUUUGGAUUUAAUGAGUUCAAAUCUGUGUAUUAUUUAUGCUUUUAUAGAUUGUUUUUUCCCAACCAUUACCUUUUCUUUUUUAUUUUUUUGUCUUUUGUCUUUGUAGGGCUGUACCCCCAGCAUAUGGAGUUUCCCAGGCUAGGGGUCCAGUCAGAGCUACAGCUGCUGGCCUACACCACAGCCACAGCAACGCUAAAUCCGAGCCGCAUCUGUGACCUACACCACAGCUCAUGGCAACACCAGAUCCUUAACCCACUGAGCAAGGCCAGGGAUUGAACCCGCAACCUCGUGGUUCCUAGCCGGAUUCAUUUCCGCUGUGCCAUGAUGGGAACUCCCCAACCAUUCAUUACCUUUUCUAACUGUCAACUUUCUUUUUUGGAUUCCUUUUAUUUGAUUAUGCCUUAGUUGAAUUUCUUUGACCCUUCAUUAGUUCUUUCACAUUUGGGUGUUUCUCUGUGUGAAAUAUAAAUAGUUCCAUAUAUUCAAUAUUUUGUAAUAACCUAGAAGGGAAAAGAUUCUGAAAAAGGCUAUCUGUAUCUAUCUGUAUACCUAUAUGCAUAUGUAUCUAUGACUGAAUCACUGUGCUGUACACCUGAGACUAACACAUAUUGUAAAUCAGCUAUACUUCAAUAACACACACACACUUCCAACUGGAAUCAGUACUAAAGCGGACUUUAAAUCAGUUUCUGACUCAUGAACCAACUCACCCAAGCUCGAGUUGACUUUGACGUUUAAAAAACUGUGAUCCCUUUGAAGGCAGGGAUUGUAUUUAUCGAUUUAUGACCAGAGACCAAUAUAGUACCUGAUCUUGGUGGGCUGUCAAUAAAGGUUUGUUGAGUAAAUGAAUUCAUGGAAUAUUGUCAAAGGUUUAGUGAAUAUUUAAGUAGAUUAAGAGCUUGAUUUCAUUUUAUUUAUGUAAAUACUGUGAAAUGACUCCCAGUAAAUUAUUCAAGCAUACUAUCUCUUAAAACAUUUAUGACAGUAGCAGUAACUACUCCGAAACACUGGUCUUAAGCCUUUAGAGUACUAUUAUUUGAAAUCAGAAUUAAUGCGUAUCAUCCUUUGCCUGCUUGAACUGUGAGAAUGGUAAAGUAGUGGUGAUAUACUAGGCUGACAAGGAAGCAGUAACUGUUAUCCUCAUCCAUUAAUAGUGGUUUAUAAAAUGGCUAAUCCUUUUAGAAAAUAUUUUAAAAGUAUGGGAACUAUCAAAAUGUCUAUAUUAUUUGACUCAGUAUUAUAAUAUUUAGAGUCUAAUAAAGUAGUCCAAAAUAAGGAACCAGCUAUGUUUAGAAAGAUGUUAAUUGUAGAAUUAUUUAUUCAGUUGAAUUAUAUAGAGUUAAACCUUGAGUAAAUUAAUUAUGCCUCUGCCUCAAUUUUCUUAGCUACAGAAUGGAGAUAAUAGUACCUUUAUGAAAUUAUAUUAGCGUAGUAUCUGGCAUAUAUAAAGCACUCAAAUUUGGCUGCCACCGCUAUUGUGUUUUAUUAUUAUUGACACAUAGGCCUCUCAUUUUCUGGAGGCUUUGUUUUUGGCCAUGGCAUGCAGCAGCUUGAUGUGAGAGUUCCCAGACCAUGGAUCGAACCUGGACUACAGCAGUGGAAGUGCCAAAUCCUAACCACUGGGCCACCAGGAAGCUCGCUCCUGGAGACUUUUAUGUAAUUGUCCUGGGCAUUAUGUUAGGUGCAUGGGAGAAAAGUAAUUAAAAGUUGUGGUUCUUAUUUAUAGGGAACGUAAAAUUCAUUUGGUGGUAGAUAGGUUUAUAAAUUUUAAUUACAGAUCAGUUAUGUGUUAAGUGACACAAGGAAGUUACAAAAUGCUGUGAGAGCUCUAGUACAGGAAAGAUUGCAGAUUACUUUGGAUUUGUAAAGGUGGAGAGGUGACAUUUUCAUCAAGCUUUGAAGGAUAAAUAGAAUUUUUAGAAGUAAAACAAUGAGAGAGGGUAUUUCAUGAGGCAUAGGAGCAAAGACACAGGAGCAGGAAAAUAAAGCAUAGAUGAAGCGAAGUAGAGUUAUGGGAGAUAAGGCUGAGGAGAUGGGAAGGAGUACCCAUGAUGGAAUGGUUUGAAAGCCAAGCUGAAGAGUUUUUAUUUUUUUUACAUGAGACUGGUAAGUGAUGGCUUUUGUAACCUGAUUAGAGCAUGGUUUUAGGAAGAUUGAAUAAUUGCAAAAUGGUUUGCUAGAGGUAGAAGAGAUGGGAAAGUGGGAAGGCUAGUUUUUUCAUUUAUUCAUUCAUCAAAAAACAUUUGUUGCUCACUCAUGCGCCAUGUUUUAUGCUUUGUAUUGAGGAUAGUAAACUUUAUCAUAUUUACUUGAUCUAUGUUAAUGGUAUUUCAGAACAUAGGUUAAUGGAGACUGAAACUAGCGUAGUGUUUGUAGGAACGAAAGGUAGAUUAGAAGUCAAAUGCAUUAUAGAGGUGACAUGUCAGGCUGGUAAUUUUGUGUACGGAAUGAGGGAGAGGUACAAGUUAAAGACAGCUUUUCAGUUUUAAACCUGAAGAACUUGGGGACUUGGUACACUUCUUAUUCCUAAUGCACAUUGGAAAACAAAGAGGGUAAGCUAGUGGGAUAUUUUAUAUUUGAUUUAUUUCAAGUUGCCAAUGGAAAAUUAAAUUAAUUCUCUUUAGGAGGCAGUUAUCAGUGGGGAAUUGGGACUUGGGGAGUCGGGACUAGGGGUGGCCAGGCAUGUUAACAAUAUAGAUUUGUGGAGUUCCUGUCGUGGCUCAGUGGCUAACAAACCCGACUAGCAUCCAUGAGGACAUGCGUUCAAUCCCUGGCCUCACUCAGUUGGUUGGGGAUCUGGCAUUGCUGUGAGCUCUGGUGUAGGUCACAGACGCUGCUUGGAUCCUGCGUUGCUGUGGCUUGUGGUGUAGGCCCGCAGCUACAUCGCAAUUCAACCCCUAGCCUGGGAACCUCCACAUGCCGCAGGUGCGGCCCUCAAAAGACAAAAAAAAAAAAAAA